This 1518-nucleotide ribosomal RNA is filed under the name human gut metagenome. Its description in RNAcentral is "bacterial LSU rRNA". It matches the Rfam family "Bacterial large subunit ribosomal RNA", at positions 446 to 1973 of the family's 2925-position model. The record is from RNAcentral.
GCCGGGACCACCCGGUAAGGCUAAAUACUCCCAAGAGACCGAUAGUGAACCAGUACCGUGAGGGAAAGGUGAAAAGAACCCCGAACAGGGGAGUGAAAUAGAACCUGAAACCAUACGCUUACAACCUGUCGGAGCGGCUUCGUGCCGUGACGGCGUGCCUAUUGAAUAAUGAGCCUACGAGUUACUAAUCACUGGCAAGGUUAAGUGCAUGCAUGCACGGAGCCGAAGCGAAAGCGAGUCUGAAUAGGGCGUUUAGUCAGUGGUUGUAGACGCGAAACCUUGCGAUCUACCCUUGAGCAGGUUGAAGGUUGGGUAAAACCAACUGGAGGACCGAACGAAUAAGCGUUGAAAAGCUUCUCGAUGACUUGAGGGUAGGGGUGAAAGGCUAAUCAAGCUGGGAAAUAGCUCGUACUCCCCGAAAUGCCUUUAGGGGCAGCGUUGUAAUUGAGAGUCUACUGGAGGUAGAGCUACUGAUUGGAUGCGGGGGCUUCACCGCCUACCAAAUCCUGACAAACUCCGAAUGCCAGUAGUAUGAUUUACAGCAGUGAGCGACCGGGUGCUAAUGUCCGGUUACGAGAGUGGAACAACACAGACCAGCAACUAAGGUCCCCAAGAGUAUACUAAGUUGAUCUAACGAUGUUUUGCUGCAGAGACAGCUAGGAUGUUAGCUUGGAAGCAGCUAUUCAUUCAAAGAGUGCGUAACAGCUCACUAGUCGAGCGGCAAAGCGUGGAUAAUAAACGGGCAUCAAGUAUACCACCGAAGUUCUGGGCACGAAAGUGCGGUAGGGGAGCAUUCCAUUCCGCGUUGAAGCCGAACCGUGAGGUUUGGUGGAGUGUAUGGAAAAGCAAAUGUAGGCAUGAGUAACGAUAAUGCGGGAGAGUAACCCGCACACCGCAAGACCAAGGUUUCCUGAUCAACGCUAAUCGGAUCAGGGUUAGUCGGGUCCUAAGGGUAAGCCGAACGGUGAUCUCGAUGGAUAAUCGGUUAAUAUUCCGAUACUGACAUAUACCUCGAUGGAGAGACGAAGGAACGUAAGUGCCGCCACCUGACGGAAUAGGUGGUUAAAGGGCUUAGGUAUAGGGACAGAUUAAGAGUUAGUCCUUGCUGAAACCUGACAGUACAGAGAGCCUACGGGCAAUUUGAUAGUGCACCCAAGUCGACUUCCGAGAAAAUCUUCUAAGUUAUAGUAUAUGUCACCCGUACCGUAAACCGACACAGGUGGUCGAGGAGAGUAUCCUAAGGUGCUCGAGUGAAUCACGGUUAAGGAACUAGGCAAAUUAACCCCGUAACUUCGGGAAAAGGGGUCCCAUCGCGAGGUGGGCGCAGCGAAGAGGUCCAGGCGACUGUUUAUCAAAAACACAGGGCUCUGCAAAUUCGAAAGAAGACGUAUAGGGCCUGACACCUGCCCGGUGCUGGAAGGUUAAGAGGGGAUGUCAUCGCAAGAGAAGCAUUGAAUCGAAGCCCCAGUAAACGGCGGCCGUAACUAUAACGGUCCUAAGGUAGCGAAAUUCCUUGUC